Molecule: ribosomal RNA, 253 nt
Filed under: uncultured bacterium
Lineage: Bacteria
Description: partial 16S ribosomal RNA
Rfam family: Bacterial small subunit ribosomal RNA
Source: RNAcentral
AACGUAGGAGGCGAGCGUUAUCCGGAUUUACUGGGCGUAAAGCGUACGCAGGUGGCUUCGUUAGUCGGACAUGAAAGCUCCUGGCUUAACUGGGAGAGGUUGUUCGAUACUGCGGGGCUUGAGGUUGGGAGAGGGACGUGGAAUUCCCGGUGUAGUGGUGGAAUGCGUAGAUAUCGGGAGGAACACCAGUGGCGCAAGCGGCGUCCUGGCCCACACCUGACGCUGAGGUACGAAAGCGUGGGUAGCAAACAGG